This 253-nucleotide ribosomal RNA is filed under the name uncultured bacterium. Its description in RNAcentral is "partial 16S ribosomal RNA". It matches the Rfam family "Bacterial small subunit ribosomal RNA", at positions 524 to 776 of the family's 1533-position model. The record is from RNAcentral.
UACGAAGGGGGCUAGCGUUGCUCGGAAUCACUGGGCGUAAAGGGUGCGUAGGCGGGUCUUUAAGUCAGGGGUGAAAUCCUGGAGCUCAACUCCAGAACUGCCUUUGAUACUGAGGAUCCUGAGUUCGGGAGAGGUGAGUGGAACUGCGAGUGUAGAGGUGAAAUUCGUAGAUAUUCGCAAGAACACCAGUGGCGAAGGCGGCUCACUGGCCCGAUACUGACGCUGAGGCACGAAAGCUAGGGGAGCAAACAGG